AUUAUUACCUGGGGAUUGUGCAAAUAUUUCAAAAUAUCCUAAUAAGACCGACCGUCCCUAGAGCAAGUGGUAAAGGACUUGCUGGUUGGUACCCGAGACCUAAGUUCGAAUCCUAGUUGAUUCACAUUUCUAGCUAAGUUUAUUUCUAAAUGAAAUAAACGAAGCGAGUAGCGUGCUACCUAUCUCUCAAAAAAAAAAAAAUCCUAAUAAGUGUAUUACAGAGACGANAAGUUCGAAUCCUAGUUGAUUCACAUUUCUAGCUAAGUUUAUUUCUAAAUGAAAUAAACGAAGCGAGUAGCGUGCUACCUAUCUCUCAAAAAAAAAAAAAUCCUAAUAAGUGUAUUACAGAGACGAAAUUAAUUACUCUAUGAUAAUAGAAAGAAAUAAUAAAAAAAUUUAAUUUAAAA
RNAcentral lists this long non-coding RNA (407 nucleotides) under Ananas comosus (pineapple). RNAcentral's name for it is "long non-coding RNA (ACOM_LNC016520)". The record is from RNAcentral. Lineage: Eukaryota; Viridiplantae; Streptophyta; Magnoliopsida; Poales; Bromeliaceae.